RNAcentral lists this transfer-messenger RNA (378 nucleotides) under Opitutales. Its description in RNAcentral is "JABJCN01 sp913048125 Standard tmRNA". It matches the Rfam family "transfer-messenger RNA". From Rfam's summary of the family: Bacterial tmRNA, also known as 10Sa RNA or SsrA, is named for its dual tRNA and mRNA-like properties. Its role is to liberate the mRNA from a stalled ribosome. To accomplish this part of the tmRNA is used as a reading frame that ends in a translation stop signal. The record is from RNAcentral. Lineage: Bacteria; Pseudomonadati; Verrucomicrobiota; Opitutia. RNAcentral also lists the same sequence under 1 other name.
GGGGGUGUUCCGGAUUCGACCGGUUGCGCGUAGGGCAUGGUUGCACGCAGGAGAUGACACUUGGCUCCUUAAAAAAGUGUCAGGCUUACAAAUGCCAAAAAUAAUGUAAUCGAGUUCCCUGGCGCCAGCCAGGAGCUUAUCGCAGCCUAAGUCUGCGUCGUCCAUGCGGGCCGACAUCCGCUAAGUUCGCAGGGCGUGUAAAAAGCGGAAGAACCUUCAUGCUUUUGCUGGUCUUCAAGAAGCAAAAAUGAAAACCAGACCGGUGACACGGGUGCCCCUGCCCCAUCGUCACUUAAAUUUAAAACAGGACGGCUAAGCGUGUAGACGCCAUGUUCGAAACCUCCCGGGACGCGGGUUCGACUCCCGCCACCUCCACCA